RNAcentral lists this ribosomal RNA (647 nucleotides) under uncultured bacterium. RNAcentral describes it as "bacterial SSU rRNA". It matches the Rfam family "Bacterial small subunit ribosomal RNA", at positions 143 to 803 of the family's 1533-position model. The record is from RNAcentral.
AUAACGCAUCGAAAGAUGUGCUAAUACCGCGUAAGACCACAGCCUCACAUGGGGCAGGGGUCAAAGGAGCAAUCCGGAUAAAGAUGGGCUCGCGUCCGAUUAGCUAGUUGGUGAGAUAACAGCCCACCAAGGCGACGAUCGGUAGCCGACCUGAGAGGGUGAUCGGCCACAUUGGAACUGAGAGACGGUCCAGACUCCUACGGGAGGCAGCAGUGGGGAAUAUUGGGCAAUGGGCGAAAGCCUGACCCAGCAACGCCGCGUGAGGGAAGAAGGGUUUCGGCUCGUAAACCUCUGUCCUAUGGGACGAAGGAAGUGACGGUACCAUAGGAGGAAGCCCCGGCUAACUACGUGCCAGCAGCCGCGGUAAUACGUAGGGGGCGAGCGUUGUCCGGAAUGAUUGGGCGUAAAGGGCGCGUAGGCGGCCUGCUAAGUCUGAAGUGAAAGUCCUGCUUUCAAGGUGGGAAGUGCUUUGGAUACUGGUGGGCUGGAGUGCAGGAGAGGAAAGCGGAAUUACCGGUGUAGCGGUGAAAUGCGUAGAGAUCGGUAGGAACACCAGUGGCGAAGGCGGCUUUCUGGACUGAAACUGACGCUGAGGCGCGAAAGCGUGGGGAGCAAACAGGAUUAGAUACCCUGGUAGUCCACGCGGU